RNAcentral lists this transfer RNA (63 nucleotides) under Dipodomys ordii (Ord's kangaroo rat). It matches the Rfam family "tRNA". Rfam says of the family: Transfer RNA (tRNA) molecules are approximately 80 nucleotides in length. Their secondary structure includes four short double-helical elements and three loops (D, anti-codon, and T loops). The record is from Rfam by way of RNAcentral. Lineage: Eukaryota; Metazoa; Chordata; Mammalia; Rodentia; Heteromyidae.
GGGAAGGUGGCUCAGUGGUAGAGUGCUUGCCUUGCAUGCAUGAGGCCCUGGAGUUCCAUUCCU